AUUCCAUGGUUGGGACAAUCAGUGAUAUAUUCUUGGAGUCGCUCCCAUGCUUCCACCACUGUCUCAUUUUGCGAGCUGCUGAAAGCUCAAUAUUCGGUUUCUCAGUGC
Non-coding RNA from Zea mays, 108 nucleotides. The record is from Rfam. NCBI's taxonomy places the organism in Eukaryota, Viridiplantae, Streptophyta, Magnoliopsida, Poales, Poaceae.